UACGAAGGGGGCUAGCGUUGUUCGGAAUCACUGGGCGUAAAGCGCACGUAGGCGGAUGUUUAAGUCAGGGGUGAAAUGCCGAGGCUCAACCUUGGAACUGCCUUUGAUACUGGGCAUCUGGAGUCCGGGAGAGGUGAGUGGAACUGCGAGUGUAGAGGUGAAAUUCGUAGAUAUUCGCAAGAACACCAGUGGCGAAGGCGGCUCACUGGCCCGGUACUGACGCUGAGGUGCGAAAGCGUGGGGAGCAAACAGGG
RNAcentral lists this ribosomal RNA (254 nucleotides) under uncultured bacterium. Its description in RNAcentral is "partial 16S ribosomal RNA". It matches the Rfam family "Bacterial small subunit ribosomal RNA", at positions 524 to 777 of the family's 1533-position model. The record is from RNAcentral.